RNAcentral lists this ribosomal RNA (112 nucleotides) under Pyropia haitanensis. Lineage: Eukaryota; Rhodophyta; Bangiophyceae; Bangiales; Bangiaceae. The record is from RNAcentral.
AAUUUUAACUAUCCAGGGAUUCCAAAAUAAAUUAGUAGCUCUAGUAAAACCCGUUUUACUUUUGAAUUCUUAUGGGAUCACGUAUUUAAAUAAGGAUUUCAUUAUUAAAAAA